GAGGACACGAGCCAUUACCCGCCGUCGCGUUCAGAGGCACGGCCGACCCAUCCGCGUUUGAUAUAAAAAAAGAAAACAGGCGUCACUUGUUCAGAUCAUUUUAAGCCAUGCAAAAUAGUCUACAUUUUGCAUAUCUUUGAUCAUGUUAGUCAUUUGAUAUCGAUCUAUCUAUCUAUCUAUCUAUCUAUCUAUCUAUCUAUCUAUCUAUCUAUCUAUCUAUCUAUCUAUCUAUCUAUCUAUCUAUCUAUCUAUCUAUCUAUCUAUCUAUCAUAUAGUCAAUAGUUUUUAUGUCUCUCUCUCUCUAUCGUUUAGUCCAUAGUUUUUAUCUAUCUAUCUAUCUAUCUAUCUAUCUAUCUAUCUAUCUAUCUAUCUAUCUAUCUAUCUAUCUAUCUAUCUAUCUAUCUAUCUAUCUAUCUAUCUAUCUAUCUAUCUAUCUAUCAUCUAGUCGAUGGUUUUUGUCUCUCUCUCUCUCUAUCGUUUAGUCCAUAGUUUUUAUCUAUCUAUCUAUCUAUCUAUCUAUCUAUCUAUCUAUCUAUCUAUCUAUCUAUCUAUCUAUCUAUCUAUCUAUCUAUCUAUCUAUCUAUCUAUCUAUCUAUCUAUCUAUCUAUCUAUCUAUCUAUCUAUCUAUCUAUCUUAGCUAGGUAGCUAGCUGCCUGCCUGCCUGCCUGCCUGCCUAGCUCGCUAGCUAGCUAGUUAGGUAGCUGCACUGAUCAAAAAAAAAAGACUGGAUGGCUCAUUGGCCACCAAACCAAAGUCGCCAUCUUGAUACUUCCAAAACAAGCGUGCUGACCUGUGCAGCGACAGCGAUUAACUGUGUUAAUCCCCAGUUUCGUGGCUGUGAGAAAACAUUCCACAGGGAUACAAUCCUGAUGCCGCGGACUUCGCGGGAACAGCAUCGAAGGGUAUCGGUGCUAGCGAAGAGGAAAAGCGGAAUGCUAACCCGUGACCAUAGAACUGCAAAGGAUCUGGACUCUCGGAGCGAUACGGAUGCCGAACCUGGUCUUCAUUCCAGAACAGCGGGAGGUCGAAGUCUCAAAGCUCAUUAACGCGCGAUAUUACCUUCCACGCCCAAACCGCAUUGCGUCGCCCUCGAGAUGACAAAGAGGCAGAAGAUCCUCUUGAGGUACU
This is a long non-coding RNA of Syngnathoides biaculeatus (alligator pipefish), 1128 nucleotides long. RefSeq lists it as uncharacterized. NCBI's taxonomy places the organism in Eukaryota, Metazoa, Chordata, Actinopteri, Syngnathiformes, Syngnathidae. The transcript is spliced from 3 exons. The record is from RefSeq and is a predicted model, not a curated record.